AUGUUUGGCCUGAAGGCAGGUGCUUUUAUCAUCGGUCUUAUGCUCACAAAUACAACUACUACGUUCUCGAACAUGGUUGGACCAACAGAGCAAGUAGAGUUCUAUGGACACCCAUCUGUCUUCAUUGCACCUACCAUCUAUGGUAUUCCACAAGCUUUAAUUGUACACUAUCAGAGUUACAAUGGCACUAUUAAGGUAAUUCUGUCAGUCGAUGAGGAAAUAAUUCCAAAUUAUACUCAACUUCUGGAUGACUUUGUCGAGUCUUUCAGGCACAUUAAGGAUGCGGCUUCAAGGCUUUCAAAACAUGUCAAGAAGGGAUAA
Molecule: ribosomal RNA, 321 nt
Filed under: Triticum aestivum (bread wheat)
Lineage: Eukaryota; Viridiplantae; Streptophyta; Magnoliopsida; Poales; Poaceae
Description: partial small subunit ribosomal RNA
Source: RNAcentral